RNAcentral lists this ribosomal RNA (227 nucleotides) under uncultured bacterium. RNAcentral describes it as "partial 16S ribosomal RNA". It matches the Rfam family "Bacterial small subunit ribosomal RNA", at positions 524 to 751 of the family's 1533-position model. The record is from RNAcentral.
UACGGGGGGAGCAAGCGUUGUUCGGAUUUACUGGGCGUAAAGGCGCGUAGGCGGCCUGCUAAGUCGAACGUGAAAUCCCUGGGCUCAACCCAGGAACUGCGUCCGAUACUGGUUGGCUUGAAUCCGGGAGAGGGAUGUGGAAUUCCAGGUGUAGCGGUGAAAUGCGUAGAUAUCUGGAGGAACACCGGUGGCGAAGGCGACAUCCUGGACCGGUAUUGACGCUGAGG